CGCGUGAGCAAUCUGCCUUUAAGAGGGGGGUAACAGUCGGAAACGGCUGCUAAUACCGCAUAAAGCAUUGAAACCGCAUGAUUUUGAUGCCAAAGGAGCAAUCCGCUUUUAGAUGAGCUCGCGUCUGAUUAGCUAGUUGGCGGGGUAACGGCCCACCAAGGCGACGAUCAGUAGCCGGACUGAGAGGUUGAACGGCCACAUUGGGACUGAGACACGGCCCAG
RNAcentral lists this ribosomal RNA (222 nucleotides) under uncultured bacterium. RNAcentral describes it as "partial 16S ribosomal RNA". It matches the Rfam family "Bacterial small subunit ribosomal RNA", at positions 114 to 334 of the family's 1533-position model. The record is from RNAcentral.